RNAcentral lists this ribosomal RNA (590 nucleotides) under uncultured bacterium. RNAcentral describes it as "partial 16S ribosomal RNA". It matches the Rfam family "Bacterial small subunit ribosomal RNA", at positions 355 to 1375 of the family's 1533-position model. The record is from RNAcentral.
UGGGGAAUUUUGGACAAUGGGCGAAAGCCUGAUCCAGCAAUGCCGCGUGUGUGAAGAAGGCCUUCGGGUUGUAAAGCACUUUUGUCCGGAAAGAAAUCCUUGGCUCUAAUACAGUCGGGGGAUGACGGUACCGGAAGAAUAAGCACCGGCUAACUACGUGCCAGCAGCCGCGGUAAUACGUAGGGUGCAAGCGUUAAUCGGAAUUACUGGGCGUAAAGCGUGCGCAGGCGGUUUGCUAAGACCGAUGUGAAAUCCCCGGGCUCAACCUGGGAACUGCAUUGGUGACUGGCAGGCUAGAGUAUGGCAGAGGGGGGUAGAAUUCCACGUGUAGCAGUGAAAUGCGUAGAGAUGUGGAGGAAUACCGAUGGCGAAGGCAGCCCCCUGGGCCAAAUACUGACGCUCAUGCACGAAAAGCGUGGGGGAGCAAAACAGGAUUAGAUACCCUGGUAGUCCACGCCCUAAAACGAUGUCAACUAGUUGUUGGGGAUUCAUUUCCUUAGUAACGUAGCUAACGCGUGAAGUUGACCGCCUGGGGAGUACGGUCGCAAGAUUAAAACUCAAAUGAAUUGACGGGGUCAUAGCUGUUUCCU